GGGUGCUUAGCUCAGCAGGUCAGAGCGUCGCCCUUACAAGGCGAAAGUCGGGGGUUCGACUCCCUCAGCACCCACCA
RNAcentral lists this transfer RNA (77 nucleotides) under Pseudomonadota bacterium. RNAcentral's name for it is "tRNA-Val". It matches the Rfam family "tRNA". Rfam says of the family: Transfer RNA (tRNA) molecules are approximately 80 nucleotides in length. Their secondary structure includes four short double-helical elements and three loops (D, anti-codon, and T loops). Lineage: Bacteria; Pseudomonadati; Pseudomonadota. The record is from RNAcentral.